This 480-nucleotide ribosomal RNA is filed under the name uncultured bacterium. RNAcentral describes it as "bacterial SSU rRNA". It matches the Rfam family "Bacterial small subunit ribosomal RNA", at positions 28 to 524 of the family's 1533-position model. The record is from RNAcentral.
GAUGAACGCUGGCGGCGUGCUUAACACAUGCAAGUCGAACGUGAGAGGUAGCAAUAUCUUGAAAGUGGCGCACGGGUGGGUAACACGUAGGUAACCUGCCUCGGAGUGGGGGAUAACAGUUAGAAAUGACUGCUAAUACCGCAUGAAUCCAUUAAGAUGGGAAUGUUGAUGGAGAAAACUCUGGUGCUUCGAGAGGGGCCUGCGGUCGAUUAGCUAGUUGGCGGGGUAACGGCCCACCAAGGCGACGAUCGAUAGCUGGUCUGAGAGGACGAUCAGCCACACGGGAACUGAGACACGGUCCCGACUCCUACGGGGGGCAGCAGUGAGGAAUAUUGGGCAAUGGGCGGAAGCCUGACCCAGCAACGCCGCGUGGAGGAAUGAAGGCCUUCGGGUUGGUAAACUACCUUUUUGCAGGGGAAGAGGAAGGACGGUACCCUGCGAAUAAGUCAGGCUAACUAACGUGCCAGCAGCCGCGGUAAU